UGGGGAAUUUUGCACAAUGGGGGAAACCCUGAUGCAGCGACGCCGCGUGAUUUAGAAGGCCUUCGGGUUGUAAAAAUCUUUUCUAUGGGAAGAAAAUGACAGUACCAUAGGAAUAAGGACCGGCUAAUUACGUGCCAGCAGCCGCGGUAAUACGUAAGGUCCGAGCGUUGUCCGGAAUCAUUGGGCGUAAAGGGUACGUAGGCGGGUAAGCAAGUUAGAAGUGAAAUCCUAUAGCUCAGCUAUAGUAAGCUUUUAAAACUGCUCAUCUUGAGGUAUGGAAGGGAAAGUGGAAUUCCUAGUGUAGCGGUGAAAUGCGCAGAUAUUAGGAGGAAUACCGGUGGCGAAGGCGACUUUCUGGCCAUAACCUGACGCUGAGGUACGAAAGCGUGGGUAGCAAACAGG
This 402-nucleotide ribosomal RNA is filed under the name bacterium. RNAcentral's name for it is "partial 16S ribosomal RNA". It matches the Rfam family "Bacterial small subunit ribosomal RNA", at positions 355 to 776 of the family's 1533-position model. The record is from RNAcentral.